GGGGAUUUAGCUUAGUGGAAAAGCACUUGCCUGGUAAGUCAAAGGUCCUGAGUUCAAUCCUCAGCUCUG
Molecule: transfer RNA, 69 nt
Filed under: Dipodomys ordii (Ord's kangaroo rat)
Lineage: Eukaryota; Metazoa; Chordata; Mammalia; Rodentia; Heteromyidae
Rfam family: tRNA
About the family: Transfer RNA (tRNA) molecules are approximately 80 nucleotides in length. Their secondary structure includes four short double-helical elements and three loops (D, anti-codon, and T loops).
Source: Rfam by way of RNAcentral